Cryptotermes secundus is the source of this 2250-nucleotide long non-coding RNA. RefSeq lists it as uncharacterized. NCBI's taxonomy places the organism in Eukaryota, Metazoa, Arthropoda, Insecta, Blattodea, Kalotermitidae. The record is from RefSeq and is a predicted model, not a curated record. The transcript has 2 exons.
UGGCCAUAGUUGGAUCUCAACUGUCUCUGGCGGCGGCUAUCCCAAGAUUGGCUCGUUCUCAUCUGUGUCGUCUCUGGCUCUGCUUAUAUAGGGGUUAUGCAGACUGGAUACCAGACACCAUUUCUCACAGUUCCGUUUCUACUAUUUCGACAGUCCGCUGUUAUGCAACGAGCCUUCAGUUGUUCAUCUCCGGGGAGAUUCGUUCAUUGUUUCGCCAUUGUCUAUGCGAUGGCUCACUGUUAUUGCGUUACCAUGGAAGUACCUACUCCAAACAUGUUACAAUAUUUUAGAGUGUUCUAAUAUGAAGAUAUCUGUGAGCAAAAUAUACCUAGUGUAUGGUUACUAUGAGUACCUUUUCUUUAGGCCAGUAUGUAUACCAACAAAUAUUUGAUCUGUAUUGACAAGCUUGUCAAAAGUCUCACACAUUUACCAUUGCACUGUAUUUUUCAAUCGUGAGGCAAAAACUGAACCUGAGAGUACCAGCAAACAUGUGUGUGUGUGGGGGGGGGGAGUGCCAAGUAUUAUCAUGUUAUGUAACCAUAAAUUUUUUGUGUCAUUGCAAGCCACAUUGAAGUCUUACAUUUUGUUGAAAUUAAAAGUGGAUCAAGUUUGAAAUCGUACAUACAGACUCGCAUGCAAAUCAGUAUCUGUCUUUUAAUGCUCUUCAUGUAAUUGUUUCAGGCCUGCAACUCACCAGCACGAGACCUCAAGUGACUCAUCUGCCAUAAGAGGAAGAAGUUAUUGCUGUACAGUCACAACGAGCAAGUUACAGCAUUUCUCUGAUGUCCAUUAUGCUGUCCUAUCAUCCAUGCAUGACAGGAAGAUACUACAGUAUUACAGUAUUACAGGAAGAAAUGUCAGUUUGAUGUGUGUGACCAUUUCUCGCAGGAAACACGCAUUUUGAUGGAGUGUGAUGUGGGAGUUCCAUAAUGAAACCUGUCUAAAGCAUUGUAUCGGCUUCCACUUCGAUUGGUCUAAAUCACUUUCAUGUAUAUCUUACAGAAGUGUUAGAAGUUACAAACGUUUGGUAAAGUUUUUGUCUAUAUGUAAAAUGGACUCUGUAUGCUUGCACCUUACCUCCCUUUUGCUAGUUUGUAUUGAAUAAAAUACAGCCAAUGAUAUCUCUUUCCCAAAACUCGUCCUGUAAACUGUGGCUCUCAUAUAUGCAUACAGUAUCAGCAUGUGACAAUUUGGAAUAAUUGACAGUGGGCUUUUCUAAACACCUGGUAACUUGAAAAACUGUUGUCUUCUUAGCUGUGAGGCCAUGUACACUGGUAGAACGUUACCACCACUUUGGAAGAACAUGUAAAGUGAUAAGACCCUGAAGAUGGAGGCCUCACAUUCCUCAGAGAUGUUGGUAACAUUCUACCAGACUACAUGGUGUCACAUCCCAGAAGUCUCAAAUCUUUGUUGUUACAGGCAUAUUCCUAUGGAAGAUCUUAGCCGAAGACUUGUUCGCUUAGAGAGUAUACAUUGUAAUUGCACAUACAGGGAAUACACAGUCAUGAGCAGAUAACAGUUGGUUUUUGAUUUGACAUAGGAGUUGGGUGUAGGAAUUGAGAACUGAGAGUUGCCUGUUCUGUGUUUGUCGAUACUUCUGAAUUGCAUGGUGACAGUGAGGAGGCUAUGGCUUAUACUUGGAAUGAAGAGUAUAGCAUUCUGAGUUGUAGCAGUGUGUAGUUCAGAGAGAGCUCCGCGUUUUGGAGGUGACAUAUUCUUCCUAAACAUUGGGCCAUCUCCAAACUACACGUUGGUACAACGGAAGACCCUGGACUGUAUGUGUAAGAUACGUAAAUUUUUAGUAAUUGUAAGUACAAAUUGGAUAGGAACUGCUGGAGCUUUUGGGGUUGGUGGGGAGAUAUUAAGGUUUUUUUCUAAUUGGUACAGUUAGAAAUUUCUUGGCAGCUAAUUCCUCAAUCUGACAAGCCGUAGUGGACAGUCUAGGCAUUGUAUUGAUGAAGAAUUCUGUAAUACAAGUUUAUGGAAGUAUGACUGCCAUAACUUGGCUGAAGUAAAGACACAUGGGUUGCAGCAUAGUGAAAGCAAUAUGAAUCACUUCGUUGAAUAGUAACGUAAUCCAUAAUGUUUAAUAGUUUAGGACUUACACUGUUGCAAGAUAUUUUACAUUCAUUGUAUCCAAAAAUUAUAUACACUGAAGCAAAUAUAAACAUUAUGAUGUAUCUGAGGCUAUUUGGAUCUUUCUGGAUGGGAUAUUUGUAAUUUAUUUUAAUAAAUACUCUUCAGAGCUGA